RNAcentral lists this ribosomal RNA (492 nucleotides) under uncultured bacterium. Its description in RNAcentral is "partial 16S ribosomal RNA". It matches the Rfam family "Bacterial small subunit ribosomal RNA", at positions 29 to 507 of the family's 1533-position model. The record is from RNAcentral.
AGUGAACGCUGGCGGUAGGCCUAACACAUGCAAGUCGAACGGCAGCACAGUAAGAGCUUGCUCUUACGGGUGGCGAGUGGCGGACGGGUGAGGAAUACAUCGGAAUCUACUUUUUCGUGGGGGAUAACGUAGGGAAACUUACGCUAAUACCGCAUACGACCUACGGGUGAAAGCAGGGGAUCUUCGGACCUUGCGCGAUUGAAUUAGCCGAUGUCGGAUUAGCUAGUUGGCGGGGUAAAGGCCCACCAAGGCGACGAUCCGUAGCUGGUCUGAGAGGAUGGUCGGCCACCUUGGAACGGAGACAGGGUCCAGACGCCUAAGGGAGGCAGCAGUGGGGAAUAUUGGACAAUGGGCGCAAGCCUGAUCCAGCCAGACCGCGUGGGUGAAGAAGGCCUUCGGGUUGUAAAGCCCUUUUGUUGGGAAAGAAAAGCAGCAGGUUAAUACCCCGCUGUUCUGACGGUACCCAAAGAAUAAGCACCGGCUAACUUCGUG